CUACUUAAAAAGACUAAAGUGGUUCCUUAUUCUGCCAUCCACAAUACGUCAACUUUGGUCGUCCUUCCCACCUGGGCUUCGGUCGUUCGCUUCGUCAAACAUUUUUUGGUUUCGCACGGGCUCAACUGGGCCGAGGCCCAGCUAUCUCCUCACGGAACGUGAACCCAUCGCCUGAAACCCUCGCCCCUAACCUCGUCAUCCUCCUCCCCUGCGCGGAUUCCACAACCCGAGCCGCCGACCACCCUCCGCCGCUUGUUCCUACAGUAGCGUGGAGAAGGAGGCCGUCCCUCCCUGUCUCGUGCAGCCGCGGGUCGCGGAGGACAGGGGCCAGGUCGGGGCGGCGCCAGCAAUCUGGACUUUUGGGCGGCACCGGUCGCUCAAGCUCCCUGCGUCGGAUCCGCCGACGCACACGAUGGAGACAAAGCUAGGGCGGACACGACUACUGGAUGGGGGCAAUCUCCUCGGACCAUGCGGCUGCUCAAGAUGGCGAUCCAAUCCAUCCUCUCCCUAGCCACCUCCCCUGAGAUGGAUUGAAUUUCUCCCCAGCUUCCAAAUUCGGACCAUGCUGCAAUUCAGAAUCACUUUUGCCCCAAUCAACUAAUCAAUAUUUUUUGAUGCACCGCAGGAGCAGAAUAGCCGACAGCAGUUUGAAGUGGAUCGGGUAGCUGCUGUUGUCGGCGUGGCUGCCGAGUGGAGGAUCUAAACUACGUUGGACUGGUGCCACAACGGUUGACCUCCCCGACACCGUUCGAGUUCCUGGGCGUCGCUACAUGCCAUAACACGCAGCAAAAGCAAUUCGUCAUAGAGGGCACCUUAUCGGCAAGACGCCCGUGGACCGUGGUGUACAUAACAUUAUCUCUGCAGUUCAUGCCUGAGCCGUAGCUAGGCACGCGGCGGCGAGCUGGUCAAUGAAGGCGUCACCGCGUCGCUGGGAGAAGGGAAGGACGAGCGGGAGGAGAAGAGAAGCGGGGCUAGCUCGCGCAGCCAGAUGCCCAUCGACGCCCUGCUCCUGCAGUGCCGCUUUUUCCUAUUCUUGAAGGAUUAGUGAUUUUCGCGGUCUAAUUUGGCAAGAAAAUGAAGGAGGCUGAGUUGGUGAUGGCGGCAUGGGAGAGUGGCGCUGAUAGCGGGAAGCUUCUAUGACAUCGGAGACAGCGCCGAGCAAGGUAUGAAACUGAAUUAUGAAUGUUGUGAACUUAAUUUACAUUCCUAUUUCGCAGGCCAUGUUUUCAUAUUAAACGCAGAUAAGAACUAUAUUGCUGAAAAAAUAGAUACAAUUUAUCUUUUUUGUGAAACUGAUAUACAUACAAGUUAGGGCUUCUAUAUAAGAAAGGCUUUGAUAAAAAAAAUACCCGUUUUUGAUGCGCAUGUGGCCUGAAAUACCACUGUAUGAGAUAGUACUGCAUGGCUCAGGUACCUAUCAUGAAAACAAUCCAUUCCGCUUAUUAGGUAUGAGAUAGUGCAUGGCUCAGGUUCCUUUAGUUUUGCACUCCUGGUGAUAACGUAGGGUUCCAGUGUAGGUAUACUGAUUGGAGUCAUGGUUAAUUUCUUAAUUGAUUAUGAGUGGGUUAUAUAUAACCGUGGUAUCCUGAAUCAAAGGCUCCAAUUGUGCUUUGUACUGUGUAUUUAUACCAACAGAUUGCAUAAUUGCUUAUUUUAUUUUUUUCAUUUCAUUUAUCUUUACAAUUUUGCAGAAGUUGGUCCAAAAGAUUUGUGAGUUUUUGAUCUAGAAUAUAGAAACUUGAUUCACAAGACUUUCUUCUUCCAUAGAAAUGAUGUUGUAUUGGCCUUUUUACAGUGUGAAAACCAGUGUUAAGACACUAUACAUUGAAGCUAUGCGAGGUUUUCAAAUAUGAGUAUAAUGUUAUAUCCAAUGGUUUUAUUCUGACAUUAUUAGGUUGAUGAAUUCUUUAUCGUCCAAAGUUUUGUUUUUUCUGCCCGUACGUUGGCGCGCUGCAAGGCAUGGGGACAUUAUUAACUGGAAGUGGAAGUGUUGUAUUAAAAGAAUCAUGUCUAAGUUAGCUCAACGCAAACUAUAUAUACUCAUGUUGUAGUUCAGUGUUUUAUCUCUUCAAUUAUCCUCUCCUCCGUUUUCUUUUCUUUUCGAGCAGCUACAAAUUGAUCAGCUGCAUCACAAGAUUGGUGCGUUUGUGACCAUUACCAGUAUAAAGUAUACCUUUUAAAGGACAUGGGAACAAGAUAACAUCCUGAGAUGACAUCUGCUUUAUUUUUGCAAAUCAAGGAAGGAAACGGAACACCAACUUCGCUCAAAUGUAUUCUCUAUAGCCUUCUGCACUGACCCACAAGGUCUACUGUAUGAUUAGCAUGGUUGUGAUGCUCAACAUGGCCAUUAAAUUAAAACGAAGUCCCUACUCUUACAGAUAUGGUAAAGUGAGUCCUUCAGGCAUUUUACAGGAAAAGCACACACUUUUCCUGAUUUUAGAUUUUGGGUUCUGUUUGCUAAUACAAAAAAUAGUAGGCAUGGUAAAAUGCUACAGUUUGUAAUUCUGACAGAGUUGCAAAUAAAAAUAUCCAUCACUCUGCCAUGUUCUAAAAUCACUGGCAUAUUGCGACGGAACUUGCAUGUGCAUGUAUCAGCCAUGCUUGCCACCGUGAUGUCAUCAUCCUCUUGUAGUAGCACAAAUUUCAUUUUCUUCGUUUAACUAUUAUUAUAAUUUAGGGUUUUUUUUUGCUCAGGACAAGACCGGUAGCAUCAUGUAUCUAUGUGAAUAAUUGCUUAUGAAUCAGGAUAUUUUUCUGUUCAGCAGUUAACAGUUCUCUGGUUUUCAAUCAGGAUUCUCCUUCAUCCAAGCUCUAUAGUGAACUGGUUCAGUUCGCACAAAAGACCUGCAGCUCAUUGUAUGCAGUUCGUGCUGAUAAAUUGGACAACACUUGACUUUUUAGAGGUGAUUUUUCUAAUAAUGUUGGCCUAUUGUGACUUAUGAUUUUAUCGAUCUCUUUCCCGCUGAUAAAUUUGUGAAGAAAACAAAAUGCCCUUCAUAAGAGCCGAUUAUAUAUCAAGUCAAAUCACGAGUGCUUCUCUUGACUACUGGUUUGCGGAGAAGAAGAAGGCACUGGAAGUGCCAAGUCAAGACUACUGGUUUUAGUUAUUCCAUAUUUUGUUUAGUGCAGUGAUGUUUGAAAGUGCCAAGUCAAACCUGUUAUAUUUUCUAUGUUUGGUACUGAUGUAGUACUCAUUUUGCUGCCAUUAUCAGUGCUUGUUGAACAAGUGAUAUGUGCUAUAUUUUUUCCACUAUUCAAUCA
Long non-coding RNA from Lolium perenne, 3261 nucleotides. RefSeq lists it as uncharacterized. The record is from RefSeq and is a predicted model, not a curated record. Lineage: Eukaryota; Viridiplantae; Streptophyta; Magnoliopsida; Poales; Poaceae.